GGCCCCGUGGUGUAGCGGUUUAACAUACUGGCCUGUCAAGCCAGAGAUCGCCGGUUCAAAUCCGGUCGGGGUCGCCA
This 77-nucleotide transfer RNA is filed under the name Chloroflexota bacterium. RNAcentral's name for it is "Chloroflexi bacterium tRNA-Asp". It matches the Rfam family "tRNA". Rfam says of the family: Transfer RNA (tRNA) molecules are approximately 80 nucleotides in length. Lineage: Bacteria; Bacillati; Chloroflexota. RNAcentral also lists the same sequence under 2 other names. The record is from RNAcentral.